UCCACAGAGUUCUGCUCUCAUAAGAAUAUAAGAGCGGUCAUACCGGGUCAGACCAAAGGUCCAUUUAGCCCAGUAUCCUGUCUACCAACAGUGGCCAAUGCCAGGGGUGCC
Non-coding RNA from Chelonoidis abingdonii (Abingdon island giant tortoise), 111 nucleotides. Lineage: Eukaryota; Metazoa; Chordata; Testudines; Testudinidae. The record is from RefSeq and is a predicted model, not a curated record.